Ostrea edulis (European flat oyster) is the source of this 727-nucleotide long non-coding RNA. RefSeq lists it as uncharacterized. The transcript has 2 exons. NCBI's taxonomy places the organism in Eukaryota, Metazoa, Mollusca, Bivalvia, Ostreida, Ostreidae. The record is from RefSeq and is a predicted model, not a curated record.
UUUUUAAAAGAGUUAAUAUUCCUUACUUCCUGUUUACUUGUUUUGGGUGUGACCCACACCACUCAUCGUUCACUCUGAGCUCCUCAGAUUUUCAUCCAUAUGCAGGCACACAGUUUGCGUACAUGGGUGUUUAACAAAACCAGUUUCAACCCGAAGGCAGGCAGAGAGUUGCGGGAUUCAGAUAUAUGGAGGUCCAUGCGGAUAUCGUGCUACAAUAUGGAAAGGCGUGGUGUAGCUCCGUAGAGAAUAACCCGAGACUUGGGAGGCAUCGGAACCCUGGUAUAUUGUCAGGAAUUGACGAUAGCUCGUGCAAGGCUUGCAUGGUGGUGGAUUGUUUUCCUUUUUGGGCGUGCUUAUCGCAAGUUGGCGGGAAACCGGAACAGUGUCUUCAGAGUGCAGAUUAGUUACAUUAUAAAGUUAAAGUAACUCGAAAUUUAGAACAAACCCAAAGAAUAUUAUAUUACUGAAAAGGAGAAUUGAAUAUUGGAACUUUUUCUAAAUUAUACUACUUUUGAAUAUUGUUUUAACUUGAAAAGUUAAUACCUGUACAUUUGCUUUACAUCUGAUACGUACUAUCGAACUUUCCAAAAUAACUGUUUACAACGUAUCAGAUAUUUAUAUUGGCAAUUGCUUAUUCAUGUAAAUUUGUGUUGAGAGUGAAAGGAGUGAGUGUGCAUAUCUUUUUCUUUUUUUAUUAUUUAUUUAAACAAUAAAUUUGUUUUUGUUU